CCUGUGAACAUAAUAGAGAAAUCACCAAUUAUCUCCAGUUUUUGCUUGAGAAUGGGAUUCAGAAAUGAGUAUCUCUCUCGGCAGAAGGUCUGCCUUGCUUAUUAUUUUCCUCAUUUACCACUAAAUACAUUUUGGUUUGCUUUGUAAAGAGUUGUCAAUGACCAUUUUCCAUUAUUAUUUGUUUUAUAUCAAUAGCCAGGGCCUUGUUGUACUAUUUAUUAUUCAUUGUAUGAAUACAAACUAUAUUCCAGUGAUAACGUGUUCCUACUCUGGCACGUUAUAUUUUGUGGCUUUCACAUGCUUUUACAGAAGAUUUUACAUUUGCCAUAUGGAGCAGCUGAGAGGCCUCUGCUAGGAUAAAUGCAGCAGAGCAGAGGGGACACUUACAACCAAAGUCCUGUUGCCCAGAUGCCUGCAAUUGCAAGGGAAUCAACUCAAUGAGCCCAGUUAGCCCUUGCAGUCAUUUGUUCUUGAGGCACAGUCUUGGACUAGACAGGCUUAUAUACUGCAUGUUCAAAGGGCGGACAAAAAGCAAAUAGGUGAUUUAUCCAAGGUCACACGUUCGUGCCUUUCUCACUUGAUGCAUCUGCAUUGAAACGUUUGUUUUAUAAUCAGGCAAAUGAGAGGAAGCAAAAUCGUUAUUUCUACAAAUCUCCUGCUCUUGCAUACAGAAAGCAAUUAAAGGCAGAGUUAACAGAGAAAACUUUAAACAAUUUGCAACUGCAUUUUCAGGCCUAUGUUUUGCAGGGGGUCUCCAGAGAUCUGGAAAUAUUAAACAUGAGCUCUGCAGCCAAUAAUGCAGGUUAGGAAGCGAUGCGAUAAAAAUCUCCUGAGGAAUCACACAGGGCCUGCUGCAAAAGACCGACAGCUUAGAUGGAAAUAUCAUGGUCUACUGUGCACAUAAAUGAAUAGGUAAUUCCUAAACCACUAUUUACUUGGUGGGUUGUGAAGGGUUUUUAUUAAGCAUAUGGCUAUAACUGUUACAGAUUACAGGCCUAGUCUCUGUGGCAUUCUUGGAAACCUGCAGCUCCAGCGUAUCGAUAGCCCAACGCACUGGGCUCGUCCUGCCCAAGGCCAAAGGAGGCAGAGAAUAGAAGCAGAGCUGCCAAGAUGCCCAAACUAUCAGAAAUUCAACCCCAAAAGUCAUCAAGAUCACACAGAGAAGUCAUCAAACAGCUUCCCCUGCGUCACUGUAAGUUCGUGGUGCCUCCACUUCUGGGACCUGAGAAAUUUUCAGCUGGUGGCAAGUCAUGAAGGCAGGUCACAGCACAGGCCUGUGGCUGCAAGGGCCCGGAGGACACACAUACCUGGGAGCCAGGACAGGGGCACACACAGCACAACCACCCACAGCAGCAAACACUCGAGGAGCCUUUUCCAUUCUGAACAGCCUCUGCAGGCACUGAGCUCUCCUCUGCAGUUGAAAUCCUCCGUGGUGUUUUGGCACCCAUCUCCCACUUAGGCUUCUCUUACAAUAAGCGGCAGAGAAGCCUUGACGCAGUCUUGAUGGUCAGGGUCUGUGUUUGUUCAGCCAGCCUUUUGCAGAAGCAGUAAAUUCAAGUGUUAGCACACAGCUGUCACCAAGUGAAGACAAGCACAUGCUGUCCUCAUGUCUCACCUGUAACAAAGCAUCACUGACGCCAGUAAUUUCUCCCAGGCUGUCAACACCUACGCCUUCUUAGAAGCUGAACUUUGUUGGGAAAAAAGGAAGGAAAACUGUAAUGCACAGAGGAAGACUUUAGAUGUGGUUUCCUUCUGACAGAAGCUCAAAUAACAUCCUUCAGAGUGAAGAAGAUUGAGACGCAGACCUAGAUUCAUCAAACAGGCUUGUGUUAGUGCUAAGAACAUCACGUACUUGCUACAGUUCAGACAAGUAAAAUCUAUUAGCCCUACUCUGCUGAAAAGCAAAAAGUCUUUAAUAUUAGUACUACUUUAAAAUGUUACACACUAUUGGUAGUGUGUUUUCUUGCCUUUGCAUUGGAAAAAGCCUGGAUAGAAAAACUAUCUGAAGCAUUAAGUUUGAAAAUAUAUUGAAAUACCUCCUGGGGAGAUGAUUUUAAGAACACUCAAUCUUUUCUGUGGCAUGAUGCAGUAGGUCUCUUCAUAUCUUAGCCACAUUUGUGCCUUAGUAAUCCUAAGGGCCUGCUAUUUGCAGCUCUACAAGUGAGCCACUGAGGCAGCUUUUCCCUCUGUGCUGCCACACAGGUGUUCCCUAAUUGUUCUCAUGAGGCUACACCUGAAAAUCUCUAUAGUUUGACAGCAAGAAGCAGCCACAGCUGCUGGAUAAUCACCUCUCUUCCAUCCUUCCUUUUCUCCAUGUUUGUAGAUUUCAGCUUAUAUUAAAGCAAACACUACACAAACCAGGCAGGAGUAAUUUAAAUACUCAAUAAAUAUAAUCUGACAAUAUAUGUGCGCAGAAGCUGAGCAACCAAAUCGAAGGGCAACAUUUGCACCCAGUCAGCGUGCUCCAGUCGAUGCUAAUAGUGUCCUAAAUGGGAACAUCUAUUGCAUUGGCUGAGUAGGCUGAGAGCACCAGUAGGCUUUGUCAUGACAUAGUGGUCCCAAAGAUUAAUGCCAGCAGUAGCUCUUCAACAUCAAAAGCAAAAGAGAUUAAACCAAAAUAGAUUAAACAAAGAAGGACUCAGGAACAGAGGGGAGGAAUUACCUUAUUUAAUGAACUAUCCCAUUUCUCAAAAAUAAAAAAAAUAUGUAUAUAUAUAUAGUAAAAUAUAUUCACAUUUGCAUAUUAAGCUGUCAUCCAUUUUUAUAUUAAAAUAUUUUAUUAUAUAUUACAUUUAUUAUAGUGGUAAUAGUACAUAAUUUUUUUUCUUUUAGUUCCAUCUUCAAUUACCUGAAACUUCACCAAAGAUUUUCCAACCUAUCUUUUCUUUUUGCAAGCUGAUUUGUCUUUUGAAAUCACAGACACUGUUGUAACUGAUGUGAUAAUUCACUCUGAUGGGUAAUAUGCAUACAGGUAAAAGAAAUAUUGGCACAAUGCAUGAUCCUACCCAUUGUAAUAAAUCAUGGUAAAUUAGUAGAGAGAAUUAAUUUUGAAUAUUUUUACCAUAAAAAUUAAGAUAAGUUGAGAAUGGAAAUUGAAAGCAUGAGCUCUUUGGGCAAUACUGAAACACAUAGUUGUAAAAGAGAGUAUUUCUCCCCACACCAGCACAUUAAUAACAGUGGCUACACUUGAAAUAAAGGCAUUUAAUGAAGAACAACUAUGUAUAAAAAAAAAAAAAAAAAAAAAAAAAAAAAGAUUCAAGAAUCGAUCCAUACAGAAGUAGACACAUAAUUAAGAAAGACCUGUUAAACUUCAGCUACAGGCUGAUACCAAGACUAUUAAAAAUGUUCCCCACAUUGCAAAAAAAUGCAUUUGUCUUGAAUAAAUCCCAGAGAGCUGGAUCCUGCAAGCUCCCAAGCUCUCAUGCUGUAACUCAAAAUUGCUCACAUGCUUUAGUGCAUUUCUGGAGACCCUCCAGGGUUUUUACCAUAUACUUGAUAUGACUGGAGAGAACAAGCACAUGGACUUGAGCACAUGUUGGAAAACAUAUAUUUAGUCCUGUGAGGCAUUCAGUGGCAUCAACUCUUACAGACUGAUGGUUGUAGGAUAUCCAUUGCUCUAGAAUGGACCAAGAAAGGAACUGAUAGUGGUGAAACACAUCGCACUGCUGGGCAGUAAUCAUACGUGUACAGUUAUGAUCCACACGGAAAGAAUGGAUGGUGGCAACUGACUUGUCAUCGACUUGACAUCAAAACCACUACCAUUUCUUUCCAAACAGGGUUCUGAAGUGAUUUCUCUUAAAUGAUCUCAAUUUUGUCCACGCUGCUAGGCUAGUUAUUCUUCACUCAGCAAAGCAAAACCAGUAUCUAAUGUUUACAAUAUACACUAAUUAUUCUGCCACAAAUACAUGGUUACUCUGCAGUAUAA
Anas platyrhynchos (mallard) is the source of this 3925-nucleotide long non-coding RNA. RefSeq lists it as uncharacterized. The record is from RefSeq and is a predicted model, not a curated record. NCBI's taxonomy places the organism in Eukaryota, Metazoa, Chordata, Aves, Anseriformes, Anatidae.